RNAcentral lists this RNase P RNA (378 nucleotides) under Bacteroidota bacterium. Its description in RNAcentral is "Bacteroidetes bacterium (activated sludge metagenome) RNase P RNA component class A". It matches the Rfam family "Bacterial RNase P class A". From Rfam's summary of the family: Ribonuclease P (RNase P) is a ubiquitous endoribonuclease, found in archaea, bacteria and eukarya as well as chloroplasts and mitochondria. Its best characterised activity is the generation of mature 5'-ends of tRNAs by cleaving the 5'-leader elements of precursor-tRNAs. Lineage: Bacteria; Pseudomonadati; Bacteroidota. The record is from RNAcentral.
CAGUGUUCGCCCUGUCGCGAUGUAUCUAUGAUACAGCGAGGAAAGUCCGGGCAACACAGAGCGCCCUGCUUCCUAACGGGAAGGCGCCGGAAGGUUAACCAACCGGUGACAGCAAGUGCCACAGAAAAAAUACCGUCCCGAUUUAUCGGGAUAAGGGUGAAAACGCGGGGUAAGAGCCCACGACGCAAACGGUGACGUUUGUGAUGGUAAACCUCAGGGGUUGAAAGGCCAAAUAGGUCAUGUUUGGAGCUGCUCGCUCCCGGUUUUACCGGCAUGACGGGUAGGCUGCUAGAGCUUUAUGGCAACGUAAAGCCCAGAUAAAUGACAGGGAUCCGCCAUUGGCGGAUACAGAACCCGGCUUACAGAACAGCCGGACAC